GAUGAACGCUGGCGGCGUGCCUAAUACAUGCAAGUCGAGCGAACGGACGAGAAGCUUGCCUCUCUGAUGUUAGCGGCGGACGGGUGAGUAACACGUGGAUAACCUACCUAUAAGACUGGGAUAACUUCGGGAAACCGGAGCUACUACCGGAUAAUAUUUUGAACCGCAUGGUUCAAAAGUGAAAGACGGUCUUGCUGUCACUUAUAGAUGGAUCCGCGCUGCAUUAGCUAGUUGGUAAGGUAACGGCUUACCAAGGCAACGAUGCAUAGCCGACCGGAGAGGGUGAGCGGCCACACUGGAACUGAGACACGGUCCAGACUCCUACGGGAGGCAGCCGUAGGGAAUCUUCCGCAAUGGGCGAAAGCCUGACGGAGCAACGCCGCGUGAGUGAUGAAGGUCUUCGGAGCGUAAAACUCUGUUAUUAGGGAAGAACAUAUGUGUAAGUAACUGUGCACAUCUUGACGGUACCUAAUCAGAAAGCCACGGCUAACUACGUG
RNAcentral lists this ribosomal RNA (497 nucleotides) under uncultured bacterium. RNAcentral describes it as "partial 16S ribosomal RNA". It matches the Rfam family "Bacterial small subunit ribosomal RNA", at positions 28 to 507 of the family's 1533-position model. The record is from RNAcentral.